GAGAGUGAAAGUUUUCAUUUAUUCAAUUUUGAAUAUAUAAUCAUGCUAAUAAUAAAUUGAUAAAGUACAUAUUUUAGUUGAAAAUGCAAAAAGUUAAGGUUUAAUACUUUUUAAGUACAUUAGUAUGGGCCAGGCGCAGUGGUUCACGCCUGUAAUCCCAGCACUUUGGGAGGCCGAGGUGGGUGGAUCACCUGAGGUCGGGAGUUCGAGGCCAGCCUGGCCAAUAUGAUGAAACCCCAUCUCUACUGAAAAUACAAAAAAAUAGCUGGGCGUGGUGGUGGGCACCUGUAAUCCCAGCUACUCGGGAGGCUGAGGCAGGACAAUCACUUGAAUCUGGAAGGCGGAGGUUGUAGUGAUCUGAGAUCGCGUCAUUGCACUCCACCUGGGGGACAGAGCAAGACUCCGUCACAAAGAAAAGAAAAAUAUUUAUACCUAUAUACUGGUUUGCCUCAGUGAAGAAUAAUCACUUUAUGUUUUCUAACUUUGAGCAUUAACUUUUGCAAAUUUGUUAAUGCUUUGUCAAAUUAAUCUUUAUAUAGCCAUGGUCAGUAAAAUCAGUAUGGUCAGAUGUGUUGACUUAUCUUCACUCAUAGUUGAUUGAAGAACAUUUUUUAUUUUAAUUUCAAAAAGUUUCUUUCAGGUGAAAUAACAGAUAUGCAAAUAGUGAUGAAAUCUUUAAGAAUAAAUGUAUCAGAUUCAUACAAAUCCCACUUCACAAUACAUUCCAGAAAUUAUAGUACUGACCAUAUCCUUUUUCCCUUGGGAUCAUUUCCAGCUGUUUUCAAAUAUUUCCGCUGUUGAAAAAUUUCCAAUAAAAUAACUUCACCAGAAAAUUCAUCAUAAAUUUCUAUCAUAUUUGGUAAAAUUCUCCAAAGCUUGUAAUGAUUGUGAAUUAUUUGAGCUUGCUUCAGGCUCAGGUCACAUCUCCAGUCCCUGUGGUACUAUGUAAGCCUGUAUUUAAACAUAGACUAAAAAUAAACAAUUAUAGCAGAGUGAUUAUAAAAAUGAAACAGAACUUGACUGCUUAUUCUUGAAAUAAACCAGUAUAGCUGAGUCCAUGUGCAUUUGAGAGUUAGAAUUACUUCCACAUAGAAUGCAAUGUUUAUUAAUAAUAAGUAAUAAUAAAAAAGUGGUAAUAUUCAGCUUACAUUUGUUUUGUUAAAUUUCAGCAACUGCAGCAGCAGUUGUUUAGAACUUAGACCAACAAAAGCUUUUUUAUUUUUCAAAGAGGAGUAGUAUUGUUGAUGUUGCUUGAAACUGCCAGGCAUGGUGAUAAUAAAAAGCAGAACUGGCUUUUAUUAUUAUUUUAUUUUAUUCCUUUUCAAUUUUCUACACACAAAGCAGCCCUUAUUGCCUGUACUAGGGGUGAACUACUCUCCCUAUCC
Molecule: long non-coding RNA, 1385 nt
Filed under: Macaca fascicularis (crab-eating macaque)
Lineage: Eukaryota; Metazoa; Chordata; Mammalia; Primates; Cercopithecidae
Description: lncRNA (ENSMFAG00000060736.1)
Source: RNAcentral